UACGAAGGGGGCGAGCGUCGUUCGGAAUUACUGGGCGUAAAGGGUGUGUAGGCGGUUAUAUAAGAUAGUGGUGAAAUACCUGAGCUCAACUUAGGAACUGCCAUUAUAACUAUGUAGCUUGAAUGACAGAGAGGAUAGCGGAAUACCCAGUGUAGAGGUGAAAUUCGUAGAUAUUGGGUAGAACACCGGUGGCGAAGGCGGCUAUCUGGCUGUUAAUUGACGCUGAGGCACGAAAGCAUGGGGAUCAAAC
This 250-nucleotide ribosomal RNA is filed under the name uncultured prokaryote. Its description in RNAcentral is "partial 16S ribosomal RNA". It matches the Rfam family "Bacterial small subunit ribosomal RNA", at positions 524 to 773 of the family's 1533-position model. The record is from RNAcentral.